RNAcentral lists this transfer RNA (75 nucleotides) under Candidatus Collierbacteria bacterium RIFCSPHIGHO2_02_FULL_49_10. RNAcentral's name for it is "tRNA-Met". It matches the Rfam family "tRNA". From Rfam's summary of the family: Transfer RNA (tRNA) molecules are approximately 80 nucleotides in length. Their secondary structure includes four short double-helical elements and three loops (D, anti-codon, and T loops). Further hydrogen bonds mediate the characteristic L-shaped molecular structure. tRNAs have two regions of fundamental functional importance: the anti-codon, which is responsible for specific mRNA codon recognition, and the 3' end, to which the tRNAs corresponding amino acid is attached (by aminoacyl-tRNA synthetases). tRNAs cope with the degeneracy of the genetic code in two manners: having more than one tRNA (with a specific anti-codon) for a particular amino acid; and 'wobble' base-pairing, i.e. permitting non-standard base-pairing at the 3rd anti-codon position. The record is from RNAcentral. Lineage: Bacteria; Candidatus Collieribacteriota.
GGCGGGGUAGCUUAGUUGGUUAAAGCGCUGGCUUCAUAAACCAGAGAUUCGUGGGUUCGAUCCCCACCCCCCCUA